Siniperca chuatsi (mandarin fish) is the source of this 2567-nucleotide long non-coding RNA. RefSeq lists it as uncharacterized. The transcript is spliced from 3 exons. The record is from RefSeq and is a predicted model, not a curated record. NCBI's taxonomy places the organism in Eukaryota, Metazoa, Chordata, Actinopteri, Centrarchiformes, Sinipercidae.
GAGAAAAAUAUACAGUUGAAUCAAGACUGACCAGUUUUUGAAACAACAACAACAGCAAGAAGCUAUAGCAUUUUUAAAAAUGUCCUUCAAAAAAACUCUUUGGCAGAGUUUAGACAUAAGGACAAUGGCUUGUAAUUAUUACUUUGAUAUUGCUUUAAAGACACAUAUUUUCUUCCCAAUUUAGUCAUUCCCAAUGUGUAACACUGUCCUGGCGAGGGUGUAGACUACCAAGUGAAUCCGCAAGUGAUGGAGAGAAAGAAGUUUCACCAGCAGAGUUUUUGGCUGUGCAGACGUCCACGCUUUCUCUCCCAGAUCCCACUACCUAACUUAUGGUUCAAGUACAUUUUUAGUAAAAAUACAUCUGUCUAUCCCGCUGGAACUGCAAAGAGUUUUUCCAAAAACUCUUACUGAGCAACCUUGUUCCCCAGAAAUUAUGUUCAUAUACUGAAUAAUAAUUCAUUUGCAACAGUGAAUAAGUCUUGAGAGAAAUGUAAUGUAAAGUGUUGCAUAUAACUAACUAUAUGCCAGACUCAGGAUGCAAGUCCUGGUCUCCGGUAUCAAAGUCCUGUGCUAAUAAUCCAGGCAGCAAUUACAUUUCCAUCAAAAGAAGGUAACUGGCAAAACAAAUUAGCAGUAUACAUAAUUUCUAGGAGACCGGGUUGAAUUGACAUACCAUAGAUUUACCCUGUUUGGAUCAUUAAAUUCUGGUGUCAGCUGUUUCUUCUUUGCCCACAGGGUGUACCAGGGCAAAAAAUACUACUGCCGUUCAAUUAUGAGGGUGGAAAUAUUGAUCGCCGCUCCAUUUGUCCAACACCUUGUAUCUCAAGGAGGCCAGAUUGUCAUGAAGUCUGGCUUGGAUGAUCCCCAAAAGAUCCUUAAUGUUUUUGCAACACUUCAAGGCCAAAAUAUCCACAUUUGGAUCUAAUGUGCAGAUUGCCAUGAAACUUGGUCAACACAUACAAUAAACCCUUUUUAGUUCAAUAACCCCAUGACCUUUACUCGAGCAUCAACUUCAGGACAAGCACUUUUUGCCUCACCAUUGAUGGAACAUACAGGACUUUAAAAUGGAGAAGAGCUUGCUUCAGCCGGAGUUUUGUCCCUUCUGCCAUAGCAGUCCGGUACAAAGUGCCUUGCUGACACUGUUGUGAGCUGGGAUACUGGAAGGGGCAUGAAUGAAUGGAGACAUGAAGAUUUGAUUUGAUUGAAGUGUUGCCUAUAUCGGUAUGUUGCUGUGUGUAUAUCUGUACUGUAUGCUUCUGUGUUGUGCUGGCUGUGAAAACAAAUCUCCCUCUUGGACAAUAAAUCUAAAUCUAAGUGUGGGAGAACUGCAAAGGAAAAAAAGGUGUAAUGGGAGAAAAAGUAGAUCUAUGUAUCUAUGUAGAGUCACACAUGUCUGCGCUAACUGCCAAUUUGGUAUUAAUAUGUGGCUACAUAGGCCUAUUCAUUAAGUUUACUACCUGGAAUUAAUUUGUCAACAGCUCAAAAACAGAUGAGGGCAGGUUACAUUCAGCAACAGUCUUUAGAUGUGAUUAAAUAACCAUAAACAUCUGUUAAUAUCUUUUAUAUAUCUUUUCAACUGGCUCAAAAUACUUUCUACAUUCUUAUGGUAGUUUUUACAGGCUGGAAAAUGUUGUCAACUAAAAAGAAAAAAGGUAUAAUUUCUGUAAUUGUGUCUUUUAAAAAAAGGUUCCUCCUGAUAGAGUAAACCGCAUGGUCCUUUCCCAUAACACCUCUAACUUGCCUCUAAAUCCUUCCGCAACUUAUAGCUUUGAGCUUCAUUACCCUGAAGGAAGUUGGUUUGCAGCCAAGAGAUCACAAAGCACAAACAAGCAUCUGUAUUCAAUUCAUUGCAUUAACGUUAAUAUCAAAAUAUUAAUAGAGACACUCCUGCCAACUUAAUAAAAGAAAUGAUUAGAGCCAAGACAUGUGAACUGCAAAUAAGGAGUCUUUCAGAAUAAAGUGCUUGACUGAAGUGCACUUAUGUUAUGCAAAUAUGUUGACCUGUUGAGCCGUUUGAUAGCUAAAGGAGCCUCUUACUUAACACUUUGUCUCACUGGUUAAAACAUCCUUACUGCUGGUUCCUUGGGAUAAUGGUGAUUUGGGAGUUUUAGGAAGUAAAGUUAUUGAGGAACUUCAGUUUAGAGCUGAAAUUAUCAGUCGAUUAAUCAAUUAGUCAAUCAAGAGUGAAAAUAAUCGAACACUUUUGGUCGUUUUUCAAGCACAAACAGCAAACAUUCUCUUGUUCUUGCUACUCUAAUGUGAGGAUUUGGUGCUUUUCUUUGCUUUAUAUUGGUGUCAGGUGAAUAUAUUUGUAGGACUGUAGGUCAGUCAAAACAAGACAUUUAAAUAAGUGUUUGCUGCAGCGCUACUUCAGGUAACAAUGUAAAUUUAAUUACCUUUGACAUUUAAGACCCAUCAAGUGACACGUGGUAGAAGACAUCUCAUUUUACAUACAACACAUUGGACUGUUAUUGCAACUCUUAUUGGUUUCUGCACUUGUCCCUUGUAAAUAAACGUUUUCUUGAAAUACUUCAGAUAAGCAUUAAACAUGAAAUAAGAGACUAAAA